GAUGAAGAACGUAGCGAAAUGCGAUAAGUAGUGUGAAUUGCAGAAUUCCGUGAAUCAUCGAAUCUUUGAACGCACAUUGCGCCUCCUGGUAGUCCGGGAGGCAUGCCUGUUCGAGCGUCACCAAAUCCAACUCAAGCGGUUUUGCGCUUGGUCGUGGCGGAAGAGUCGGUCUGGUUGCCGUCUCCCCUCCGAAAAUCAACGGCGGAAAGUCACUGGCAGUCAGCGUAGUAGUAUCGUUCGCCGAACAUCCAGUGGCAUUCCUGCCGACGUACCCCCACAAUUCUCGUGAUUGACCUCGGAUCAGGUAGGGAUACCCGCUGAACUUAAGUAUAUCAAUAAGCGGAGGA
RNAcentral lists this unclassified non-coding RNA (347 nucleotides) under soil metagenome. RNAcentral describes it as "partial contains 5.8S ribosomal RNA, internal transcribed spacer 2, and large subunit ribosomal RNA". The stretch from base 1 to 120 matches the Rfam family "5.8S ribosomal RNA", at positions 35 to 154 of the family's 154-position model. The record is from RNAcentral.